This 875-nucleotide long non-coding RNA is filed under the name Homo sapiens (human). Its description in RNAcentral is "HSALNT0287535". The record is from RNAcentral. Lineage: Eukaryota; Metazoa; Chordata; Mammalia; Primates; Hominidae.
GUUUGGGAAGGCUCUUUAGGCAUGCCAAACAAAUGUCCCCCAUUCUUCAACCAGAGCAUACUGGCUUCCUCGUCAGAUCACCCUCCCCACUCUCCUUCUCUCCUCCCACCAUGACAAUGCUCUGAUGAUGGUUUCUGCUAUCUAAGGCCCUCACACCCCAGCAGAGCCACUAUUGGCUGGGUAGUGGUUUGCUGACCAAUCAAAGCUCAGUGGUGUGGCCCCGCCCUGUCCUGGAAGGGUAUAUAUAGGGAAGCCAGGAGGCCUGGAGUAGACCACUGAGAGACCCCGAGGUGGUGAAGAUAACCAGGAAACCAAGCAAUCAGACCAGUUGUAGAACCCCCACCCACCAACACCAAAGAGUCAAGGAAGACAAAGUCCCCCUCUUAACCCAGGCCCAGAAGCCCUAUCAAGGUGAGUGACACACCCAAGCUCCUCCUUGUCUUCCCCUUGACUCCUCCCUCCCAAGACUCCUACCCUGUCCUUGCCUGGCACAACCGCCCAACCCAGCCUGUAACCUUCACAUGAAACCCCUGGUCCCACUCAUCCUCUAUCCCCUUCCCCAAAACCAGUGCCUUUCUGUGAUCUCUCUGCUGUCCUUCUGGGUCCCAAGACAAUCUGAAAGGGAAAAGGAAGACUUCGAGGGAGUUCCAGGGAAAAAGCUUCUCCAGAAUGAUCACCACUUCAAGAAAAGCUGAGCAUGAGAGAGGGCCAAUGCAAUCCAGACACUGUGACCAGCUGAAUGAGAAACUCAAUCAAAAUGAGCCACAGCAACACCAAAAGAGCCAGGAGACCUCCACCACCUGAAGCUUCUCCCUGGGCAGCCAUUAAUUUCAGGGCAAGGCCAGAGACCUCAGAUCUAUUUGAGAAGUCUCCAG